GUCAGAGUGGUGUAGUGGUUUGUGUGUUAAACUGUGACUUUGGAGAACAGGGUUGGAUUCCUUGCUCAGCUG
Phrynosoma platyrhinos (Desert horned lizard) is the source of this 72-nucleotide non-coding RNA. Lineage: Eukaryota; Metazoa; Chordata; Lepidosauria; Squamata; Phrynosomatidae. The record is from the annotation of a GenBank genome assembly.